Molecule: ribosomal RNA, 552 nt
Filed under: Debaryomyces hansenii
Lineage: Eukaryota; Fungi; Ascomycota; Pichiomycetes; Serinales; Debaryomycetaceae
Description: LSU rRNA
Rfam family: Eukaryotic large subunit ribosomal RNA
Source: RNAcentral
CAACAGGGAUUGCCUUAGUAACGGCGAGUGAAGCGGCAAAAGCUCAAAUUUGAAAUCUGGCACCUUCGGUGUCCGAGUUGUAAUUUGAAGAAGGUAACUUUGGAGUUGGCUCUUGUCUAUGUUCCUUGGAACAGGACGUCACAGAGGGUGAGAAUCCCGUGCGAUGAGAUGCCCAAUUCUAUGUAAAGUGCUUUCGAAGAGUCGAGUUGUUUGGGAAUGCAGCUCUAAGUGGGUGGUAAAUUCCAUCUAAAGCUAAAUAUUGGCGAGAGACCGAUAGCGAACAAGUACAGUGAUGGAAAGAUGAAAAGAACUUUGAAAAGAGAGUGAAAAAGUACGUGAAAUUGUUGAAAGGGAAGGGCUUGAGAUCAGACUUGGUAUUUUGCGAUCCUUUCCUUCUUGGUUGGGUUCCUCGCAGCUUACUGGGCCAGCAUCGGUUUGGAUGGUAGGAUAAUGACUAAGGAAUGUGGCUCUACUUCGGUGGAGUGUUAUAGCCUUGGUUGAUACUGCCUGUCUAGACCGAGGACUGCGUCUUUUGACUAGGAUGUUGGCAUA